This 77-nucleotide transfer RNA is filed under the name Amphritea japonica. It matches the Rfam family "tRNA". Rfam says of the family: Transfer RNA (tRNA) molecules are approximately 80 nucleotides in length. Their secondary structure includes four short double-helical elements and three loops (D, anti-codon, and T loops). RNAcentral also lists the same sequence under 4 other names. The record is from RNAcentral. Lineage: Bacteria; Pseudomonadati; Pseudomonadota; Gammaproteobacteria; Oceanospirillales; Oceanospirillaceae.
AGGACUAUAGCUCAGUUGGUUAGAGCACUUGCUCGACAUGCAAGGGGUCGUCAGUUCGAAUCUGACUAGUCCUACCA